UACGAAGGGGGCUAGCGUUGCUCGGAAUCACUGGGCGUAAAGCGCACGUAGGCGGCUUCUUAAGUCAGGGGUGAAAUCCUGGAGCUCAACUCCAGAACUGCCUUUGAUACUGAGGAGCUUGAGUCCGGGAGAGGUGAGUGGAACUGCGAGUGUAGAGGUGAAAUUCGUAGAUAUUCGCAAGAACACCAGUGGCGAAGGCGACUCGCUGGACAAGUAUUGACGCUGAGGUGCGAAAGCGUGGGGAGCAAACAGG
Molecule: ribosomal RNA, 253 nt
Filed under: uncultured bacterium
Lineage: Bacteria
Description: partial 16S ribosomal RNA
Rfam family: Bacterial small subunit ribosomal RNA
Source: RNAcentral